AGUGAGCUUGUUGCUUUUGUUGCGUUGCUCCGCUGCGAUUUAUGGCGAUAUUAAUGGCCACCAGCGAAGGGUUGGAGGCCGAGCAGUGAAGCCAGUGAAGCCCCGCAUCAAUGGCGUCCUCAUAGCUCCACCUCCUCUUCAACUUCUUCUUGCCCCUGAAUCGAUUCGAAACCCCUCCUCCCCCAUUGUUUCUUCUUCUUCGUCUUCCACCCAUUGCUUCUUGCUUUCUUUGGAACACCACCCGAGGAAAUUCCUCUGGCUUUCUUUUCCCAUUUCGUCUCUUGUUUGUUUGGUAAUGGCGAUGCUGCGAUGUGUUGGUUGACAUCUCGGAGGAUUUGGGUUUGAAUUCAAAUCGACGGGGAUUUGAUUUGAAUUCAAUCGGCAGCUUCGUGGUGAAAGGUUUAGCCUUUUUGGGUGAAUCUUUUGUUCGAUUUGGAAGCCAUGGUGGCCGAGCCGCUGGUGCACAAGGUGCUGUCCAUGGCGACGUCGUCGUCGUCGUCUAGGAAGGUGAAGCCGGUGACGACGAGUAGCGGCAAGGGCGGCGCGGCGGCGGCGGCGGCGGCGGCGGUGGAGGGGGUGGUGGAUGACGGGAGGGUCGGCAUCCUGUCGUUCGAGGUGGCGAACGCCAUGUCGCGCGCCGCCAACCUGUACCGCUCGCUGUCGGACGCCGAAGGCGGGGCGGCUGCUCGGCCCGCUCUGCCUCGGCUCCCAGGCGGUGCGCGCGCUAGUGCCGGGCGACGACGCGCGCCUCCUGGCGCUCGCGCUCGCCGAGAAGCUCGACGCGCUCAUCCGCGUCGCGGCCGUCGCGGCGCGCCUCGGCAGGCGGUGCACGCUCCCGGCGCUCCUCGGCUUCGACCACGUCUACGCCGACCUCCUCGCCGGCCGCUCCGACGCCGCCUUCGCCGCCGCCUUGCACUCCGAGGCCACCGCGCUCGUCCGCAAGCUCGACCGCCUCGCCGCCGCCACGGCCGCGCUCUACGCCGAGCUCGAGGCGCUCGCCGACCUCGAGCAGUCUGCGCGGAAGCUCCCCACCGACGAGGCGCGCCGCGCGCUGGAGCAGCGCACGCGGUGGCGCCGCCACGACGCGCGCCGCCUCAGGGACUCGUCGCUCUGGAACUGGACCUACGACAAGGCCGUGCUCCUGCUCGCCCGCGCCGUCUGCGCCAUCUACGACCGCAUCCGCCUCGUCUUCGGCGACCCAAUGCGGGGGCUCGACUUGCUGGCCAUUGGCCGGAGCUCAAGGCAGUGUGACCAAAGCCGGCAGCUCUCCGGCCCAGCCUCGGCGAAUAAUUCGGGCCAUGUCCGGACUAAUUUCGGCGACACCAAAUCAGGGCCAAUUGCAAGGAUCGACAUGGACACGCCACGUUCCGUGAAUUUCCGGUCGAAUUGCGGGGCAAGCCCAGGUAAAAUGUUCAUGGAGUGCUUGAGCUUGAGUAGCUCGGUGUCAUGGAAGGAUGGGUUUGAGGAUGAAUUCUUGGAGGAUGCCAGCUGCAUUAGCACAAUCAGGUCCGGGAUGCUUCUGCCAUUCAGCGGCGAGCAGGGGGUGUCGACAAUGGCAACCAAGAGUGGCAAGGUUGGCAGAAGGGCGCGAUUCGGUCCGAAAAGUACUGUGACAUCACUAGCCCCGCCAUCCACGAUUGGCGGGUCAGCGCUUGCGUUGCAUUACGCUAAUAUUGUCAUCAUCAUCGAGAAGUUGCUCCGGUACCCACAUCUUGUUGGUGAGGAGGCUCGGGAUGAUCUGUACCAGAUGUUGCCAUCAAGCUUGAGAGCAGCACUGAGGAAGAGCUUGAAAACAUAUGUGAAGAGCAUGGCGAUCUACGAUGCGUUCCUCGCGCACGAUUGGAGGGAAACGCUUGAGAAGACCCUGACAUGGCUUGCUCCGAUGGCGCACAACAUGAUCCGGUGGCAAGCCGAGAGGAAUUUCGAGCAGCAGCAGAUUGUGUUGAAGGGGAAUGUGCUACUUCUUCAGACAUUGUAUUUCGCGGACAGGGAGAAGACGGAGGCCGUGAUAUGCGAAUUGCUUGUCGGGCUAAAUUACAUCUGCCGGUAUGAGCAGCAACAGAAUGCACUGCUGGAUUGCUCUAGUAGUCUCGACUUCGACGAUUGUAUGGAGUGGCAACUGCAGUAGAGUCCAUCAGUCCAAGGUCAGGUUUCUGCUUGGUUCCAUAGUGUACAAGGAAUAUGAAACAACAAAGGGUACUUGUGUUUUGGUUUGGAUUUUUUUCUCUUCUGUUUUUUUGGGUGCAAGUUGCACAUGAGAUCAUCUAUCAUUCAUAGAUGAAAAAAAUUUAUAGGAUUGCCUAAUGCUUUUGUUCACUUGAGAUAUGCUCUGUCUAACUCAGUUGUACAUAAAUGAAUGUUUUGUGCCAAAGCAAAUGAGCAAUCUCAAGUGUCCAAAAGGGGUUUGUGCCUUAGUAAAAUUCACCUUUUUUAUUUUGUAUUUGGUAGGACAUGUUUGUGGAUAACUAGUUGAAAGUAUCCUAUUUGGUAUUUGGUAGUGAAGUCACAAAGUUUUACUCCUCUGUUUACCUAAUGAAUUCUAGCAUAUGGAAUGUUCAGACUAUGAAUAUAUCAAGUCACUCUGCCUUGGUCA
Oryza sativa Japonica Group (Japanese rice) is the source of this 2593-nucleotide non-coding RNA. The record is from RefSeq and is a predicted model, not a curated record. NCBI's taxonomy places the organism in Eukaryota, Viridiplantae, Streptophyta, Magnoliopsida, Poales, Poaceae.